GGUCUUAUAGUUUAUUAAAAAAUUUUAAAUUGCAAGUUUAAGGAUAUGUUAUUUAAGACUU
Molecule: transfer RNA, 61 nt
Filed under: Ornithodoros tabajara
Lineage: Eukaryota; Metazoa; Arthropoda; Arachnida; Ixodida; Argasidae
Description: tRNA-Cys
Source: RNAcentral